Molecule: long non-coding RNA, 1473 nt
Organism: Grammomys surdaster
Lineage: Eukaryota; Metazoa; Chordata; Mammalia; Rodentia; Muridae
Exons: 2
Source: RefSeq, a predicted model, not a curated record
UCAUUUAAUUUUACUGCAGGUGCAAACUCGUAGUGCUGAUGAACCAAUGACAACAUUUGUUGUAUGUAAUGAAUGUGGAAAUCGGUGGAAGUUCUGUUGAGUUUGGAAGAAUUGGCAAGGUAUCUGGACCAUUAAGAAAAAUUAAUUUUGUAAUUAGCUUUAAAAUUAAUUAAGCCAGGCAACUCGUUUUCCUGCAAGUGAAAUUUGUAAACAGUAUACAUCCCAUGGGUUGAUCUUUGCUGUUCACCUGACAGUCUUUCUUAAAUGCCUUCUGUGGUCUCAGAUCAGCUGGGAAACCAUACAAUAAUUAUAUAAUAUGUUGGUUUGUUUUUCUUUUUUAUAGGUUGAUGUUGCAUUUUAUUAAAUAUUAACUUUUUAUACUCUAGAACACAAAAAUUCUGUUGACCUGUUAAUGCAUAAAGAUAAAUUGUACCUAAAAAUGUUAAAGGAAGAGAAGGCAUAGUAUACAUUUUAGAGUUACCAAAUAGUAGUACUUGGCCAGCUUGUCAAAGUUGUGCGCACAAUUUGAACUAGCAUAUUAUUUACUCUUAAUUACUGUGCUCACAAACCCUCAUAUGCUUAGAUCUCUUGCAUCUGUGACUAACCACAGUGAGUGAUCAUUUCUUGUAUUUCUCAUACAUGUAUGUUACCAUUUUUUUUUAAUAGAUAUUACUUUGAAAACUGACUGGGUUGCCAUCAGUUUAGUUGACUUUGUGCUAUAUUUUAGUUUUACAGAAUUCUGUUAUAAUUUCCUAAGCUUUUCACAAAGCCCCUCACAGGUAUACUUCUGAUGCAUUUUCCCCCAUAGGAAGACAUGCUGUGAAGAAAAUGUUAGUAUCUUAGUAGAGUUCCUGGAGGCAGCAUGACUGUACUCGCACUUGGAAACCUACUGACCAAGGAUUAAGCCUGAGAACUGUGUAAAUCAUUAAGCUAUGCUUUUUGCGUAUGGAGGUUGUAAAAAAAAAAAAAUCCUUUAGACUGAAUCUUUUGUGCUGAAUUUUUACAUGAUGUCAAGCCAACUGAAAUGUAAGCUGUAACAAGUAGUUCUACAAAACAUUUUUCACAAUUAAGUUUUACUUUUAUUUAAAUGUGUCCCACUUAUUUUGCAAGUAAUAAGCAAUGGUUUUCACAUUGUCUUCUUGACAUAGAUGUUCUAAUGCAUAUAGUAAAGGCCACUGUUACAAAGCUUACAACUUAAGUGCUUCUGCCUGUGUUCAGACUUUUAUGUAAAGACCACUGCACAAGCUUUGCACUCUUCUAUGCUCUGCUUUGCAGAUUGUUUGACAUAACAUAAAAAAACACUUAAUAUAUCCAUGUUAAAAGGAUUGGUCUAUGGGUAAUUUCUGUCACUUUAAAAAUAAAGUACAUUUUCAAAGAAUUAAUUUAAAAGUAAUAAGGUUAAAAUAGUCCCAGUUUUAAGUGAUCCAUUUUAAAAUUUGUAAAUCAAUAAAUUUUUUUUUGUUGUUAAACAUA